UACGUAGGGGGCUAGCGUUGUCCGGAUUUAUUGGGCGUAAAGAGCGUGUAGGCGGCCAGAUAGGUCUGCUGUGAAAACUCGAGGCUCAACCUCGAGAUGUCGGCGGAAACCAUUUGGCUAGAGUCCGGAAGAGGAAAGUGGAAUUCCUGGUGUAGCGGUGAAAUGCGCAGAUAUCAGGAGGAACACCGAUGGCGAAGGCAGGUCUCUGGGCCACUACUGACGCUGAGAAGCGAAAGCAUGGGGAGCGAACAGG
RNAcentral lists this ribosomal RNA (253 nucleotides) under uncultured bacterium. Its description in RNAcentral is "partial 16S ribosomal RNA". It matches the Rfam family "Bacterial small subunit ribosomal RNA", at positions 524 to 776 of the family's 1533-position model. The record is from RNAcentral.